RNAcentral lists this ribosomal RNA (512 nucleotides) under uncultured Flavobacterium sp. RNAcentral's name for it is "bacterial SSU rRNA". It matches the Rfam family "Bacterial small subunit ribosomal RNA", at positions 9 to 524 of the family's 1533-position model. The record is from RNAcentral. Lineage: Bacteria; Pseudomonadati; Bacteroidota; Flavobacteriia; Flavobacteriales; Flavobacteriaceae.
GAGUUUGAUCGUGGCUCAGGAUGAACGCUAGCGGCAGGCUUAACACAUGCAAGUCGAGGGGUAGAGUAGCAAUACUUGAGACCGGCGCACGGGUGCGUAACGCGUAUGCAACCUACCUUUUACAGAGGGAUAGCCCAGAGAAAUUUGGAUUAAUACCUCAUAGUAUAUGUCUUUCGCAUGUUAGACAUAUUAAAGUUCCAACGGUAAAAGAUGGGCAUGCGUCCUAUUAGCUAGAUGGUAAGGUAACGGCUUACCAUGGCAACGAUAGGUAGGGGUCCUGAGAGGGAGAUCCCCCACACUGGUACUGAGACACGGACCAGACUCCUACGGGAGGCAGCAGUGAGGAAUAUUGGACAAUGGGCGCAAGCCUGAUCCAGCCAUGCCGCGUGCAGGAAGACGGUCCUAUGGAUUGUAAACUGCUUUUGUACGGGAAGAAACACUCCCUCGUGAGGGAGCUUGACGGUACCGUAAGAAUAAGGAUCGGCUAACUCCGUGCCAGCCGCCGCUGUAAC